RNAcentral lists this ribosomal RNA (1396 nucleotides) under Pseudomonas soli. RNAcentral's name for it is "bacterial LSU rRNA". It matches the Rfam family "Bacterial large subunit ribosomal RNA", at positions 1552 to 2925 of the family's 2925-position model. The record is from RNAcentral. Lineage: Bacteria; Pseudomonadati; Pseudomonadota; Gammaproteobacteria; Pseudomonadales; Pseudomonadaceae.
AAGGCCGAGAGCUGAUGACGAGUGCUCAUUAGAGCGCGAAGUGGUUGAUGCCAUGCUUCCAAGAAAAGCUCCUAAGCUUCAGAUAACUGGGAACCGUACCCCAAACCGACACAGGUGGUUAGGUAGAGAAUACCAAGGCGCUUGAGAGAACUCGGGUGAAGGAACUAGGCAAAAUGGCACCGUAACUUCGGGAGAAGGUGCGCCGGUGAGGGUGAAGCACUUGCUGCGUAAGCCCACGCCGGUCGAAGAUACCAGGCCGCUGCGACUGUUUAUUAAAAACACAGCACUCUGCAAACACGAAAGUGGACGUAUAGGGUGUGACGCCUGCCCGGUGCCGGAAGGUUAAUUGAUGGGGUUAGCGCAAGCGAAGCUCUUGAUCGAAGCCCCGGUAAACGGCGGCCGUAACUAUAACGGUCCUAAGGUAGCGAAAUUCCUUGUCGGGUAAGUUCCGACCUGCACGAAUGGCGUAACGAUGGCGGCGCUGUCUCCACCCGAGACUCAGUGAAAUUGAAAUCGCUGUGAAGAUGCAGUGUAUCCGCGGCUAGACGGAAAGACCCCGUGAACCUUUACUAUAGCUUUGCACUGGACUUUGAGCUUGCUUGUGUAGGAUAGGUGGGAGGCUUUGAAGUGGGGACGCCAGUUCUCAUGGAGCCAUCCUUGAAAUACCACCCUGGCAACCUUGAGGUUCUAACUCAGGUCCGUUAUCCGGAUCGAGGACAGUGUAUGGUGGGUAGUUUGACUGGGGCGGUCUCCUCCCAAAGAGUAACGGAGGAGUACGAAGGUGCGCUCAGACCGGUCGGAAAUCGGUCGUAGAGUAUAAAGGCAAAAGCGCGCUUGACUGCGAGACACACACGUCGAGCAGGUACGAAAGUAGGUCUUAGUGAUCCGGUGGUUCUGUAUGGAAGGGCCAUCGCUCAACGGAUAAAAGGUACUCCGGGGAUAACAGGCUGAUACCGCCCAAGAGUUCAUAUCGACGGCGGUGUUUGGCACCUCGAUGUCGGCUCAUCACAUCCUGGGGCUGAAGCCGGUCCCAAGGGUAUGGCUGUUCGCCAUUUAAAGUGGUACGCGAGCUGGGUUUAGAACGUCGUGAGACAGUUCGGUCCCUAUCUGCCGUGGACGUUUGAGAUUUGAGAGGGGCUGCUCCUAGUACGAGAGGACCGGAGUGGACGAACCUCUGGUGUUCCGGUUGUCACGCCAGUGGCAUUGCCGGGUAGCUAUGUUCGGAAGAGAUAACCGCUGAAAGCAUCUAAGCGGGAAACUUGCCUCAAGAUGAGAUCUCACUGGAGCCUUGAGCUCCCUGAAGGGCCGUCGAAGACUACGACGUUGAUAGGUUGGGUGUGUAAGCGCUGUGAGGCGUUGAGCUAACCAAUACUAAUUGCCCGUGAGGCUUGACCAU